GACGAACGCUGGCGGCGUGCUUAACACAUGCAAGUCGAACGGAAAGGCCCUGCUUGCAGGGUACUCUAGUGGCGAACGGGUGAGUAACACGCGGAUGAUCUGCCCUGCACUUCGGGAUAAGCCUGGGAAACUGGGUCUAAUACCCGAUAGAAGCCAUUUUUCUUGUGAUGGUUGGAAAGUUUUUUCGGUGUAGGAUGAGCUCGCGGCCUAUCAGCUUGUUGGUGGGGUAAUGGCCUACCAAGGCGGCGGAGGGUAGCCGGCCUGGGAGGGUGGACGGGCAAAUUGGGACUGAGAUACGGCCCAGAAUCCUACGGGGGGCAGGAGUGGGGAAUAUUGCACAAUGGGGGCGAGCCUGAUGCAGCGACGCCGCGUGGGGGAUGACGGCCUUCGGGUUGGAAACUCGUUUCGCUAGGGACCAAGCUUUUUGUGACGGUACCUAGAUAAGAAGCACCGGCUAACUACGUG
This 465-nucleotide ribosomal RNA is filed under the name uncultured bacterium. RNAcentral describes it as "partial 16S ribosomal RNA". It matches the Rfam family "Bacterial small subunit ribosomal RNA", at positions 28 to 507 of the family's 1533-position model. The record is from RNAcentral.